UACGUAGGGUGCAAGCGUUAAUCGGAAUUACUGGGCGUAAAGCGUGCGCAGGCGGUUUUGUAAGUCUGUCGUGAAAGCCCCGGGCUCAACCUGGGAAUGGCGUUUGGGACUGGGUCGCUAGAGUGUGGCAGAGGGAGGUGGAAUUCCACGUGUAGCAGUGAAAUGCGCAGAUAUCAGGAGGAACACCGGUGGCGAAGGCGGGUCUCUGGGCCGAUACUGACGCUGAGGAGCGAAAGCGUGGGGAGCAAACAGG
Molecule: ribosomal RNA, 253 nt
Filed under: uncultured bacterium
Lineage: Bacteria
Description: partial 16S ribosomal RNA
Rfam family: Bacterial small subunit ribosomal RNA
Source: RNAcentral